UUACAAGAAAUGCAUGGAGCAAAGGUUUAGGGAAUUGGUGGCAAGCAAGGCCCUUGAGGGUCUCCAGGCUGAGGUUACUGAUAUGGACUGGGAAAGUACCUUCUAUUUGCGCCAUCUCCCUGAAUCCAACAUGGCUGAAAUCCCAGAUCUAACCGAUGAAUACAGGAAGGUGAUGAAAGAAUUUGCAUUGAAAUUGGAGAAACUAGCAGAGGAGCUGCUGGACUUGUUCUGUGAGAACCUUGGGCUCGAGAAAGGGUACCUCAAAAAGGCUUUCUAUGGGGAAAAAGGUCCGACCUUUGGCACCAAAGUUAGCAACUACCCACCAUGCCCCACCCCAGAUAAAAUCAAGGGACUCAGAGCCCACACGGACGCCGGUGGCAUCAUCUUGCUGUUCCAAGACCCCCAAGUGGGCGGCCUUCAGCUUCUUAAAGACGGGGAAUGGGUGGAUGUUCCCCCCUUGCGCCACUCCAUUGUCAUCAACCUCGGGGACCAGCUGGAGGUGAUCACCAACGGCAAAUACAAGAGCGUGGAGCAUAGGGUGAUUGCCCAAACCGACGGUGCUCGGAUGUCGAUAGCUUCGUUCUACAAUCCCGGCAGCGACGCCGUUAUCUACCCGGCGCCAGCCCUGGUGGAGAAAGAAGAAGAAGAAGAGAAGAAAGGAUUGUACCCAAAAUUUGUGUUCGAAGAUUACAUGAAGCUUUACGCUUUGCUUAAAUUCCAGGCCAAGGAACCGAGGUUUGAAGCCAUGAAAGCCAUUGCAACAGCUUAAAAAAUGGAAGUUAAUCUACACCCUAAAAGUCCUUAACCAUAUAUGUACCAACCUGGAAAUCUUAUCGUUGUAAUUUUGGACCACUUCAUUAAUUGUUGGGGGUAAUAUAUAUUGCUACUUCAAUAAUUCCAUCCUUCAUACAGUUUCUACGUUAAACUCUAAAAUAUCUAAUUAUUCUUUUGAUGAUUGGUAUUGAUUUCAUUUACUUGGAUCUGCAAAACUUAAUGCCAUGAAAUUGAUUGAAUAGUUGGCGAAACAAUUGUUGCAAUUUUUGUUUUUACAUUUUAACUUACCAUGCUACCAACUCCAUCCUUUUUAAGCAUAACUCACAGAUGUAGGAUUAUAAACCCCCACUGUCUCCUCCUUUUUCUUUUAUUAUUUCAUACUUCAAUUUUGUACAUCCACAAACAUAUAUGUUUUUUGAACCAACAUUUCUAGCCAAUCAAAUUUCACAAAACCACUCCUCAAACUACCAAAAUUCAUUGAAUAAAACCCACAACUCUGAUUAAUUUCAAAAUUCAAGUUACCAAAUGUUACUUACAUGAAAACUAACCCUACACGUUGUGUAUUGCUAAUGGCUACAAGUCUAAAUAAAAUAAUUGGGAUUUUCUCUAACCUACGUAAUGGGUGAUCAACUCAAGCCUAAACUAAACAUAGAAAUUAAUUUCCAGUUUAAUGAAUAACAUAGGUAGAAAAACACAAAUUCAAACCAAAUUUAAUUAAAAGAAGCCCCACAAUUAGUAAUUAUUGUUUUGGAGUUGUAAUAAAAUUUUUAUCCGACAUGCUUUACUAACAUGAUGAUAUGGGCUACAAAUAUCCAUUAAUAGAUGUAAUUCUUGAUGCAUUGGAAAGCUGACCAACAAAGCUACCGGUCAUAUGGAGAGUGUUUGGUCUAAUUCCCCGGAGGUCAAAUACUUAAGUUCAUCUAACCUCGUACGUUGGUACGAUGGUUAGGGUGUUUACCGUCUCAAAUGUAAGCUGGGUUCGAGUUGUGCUAAUCGCUUAUAAUUCACCAUAAAGAGAAAAACUUAAGUUCACCCAAAAUAAGUGUAUAUGAAGAUGAGAAUUUUAUCUCUCAAUAUAAUACUAAAAUUGUCCGCUCAAUAUCCAUUUAUGAAAACGGAACACAUUUCAUGAUCAUCACGUAGAUAUUUUAAUUACAACAAAAAAAAAAUUGAAUAACAAACACCCAAACUAUAAUUGAUAAUUAGUUUAAAUCGUAAGCAUGUUACUAACAAAUUUUUAGAGGUGAUUGAUUCAAGAUAGUUUGGGUGCAUAAUGUUUUUUCUCAAAUGAAUUAAUUAGUUAUGGGUUGAAAGUUAUGAGCAUAUUAAUAACUUAAAAAUAUUAGUUCGGUAAGAUUUAAUAUGAUUUUUAUUUAACCUAUAUAUUAAUAAACUAUCAAAAUUAUAAAAGUGCGAAUUUUGAAAAAAAAAGUAUUUAAAUGAGAACCAUAAUAUUCAUAAAGGACAUAAGGAAUUAUGAAUGAUCUAAAUCACUAAAAAAAUGUUAAAUUGUGUUGAAUUUAGGUAUAAUUAUUUAUAAUUAUAUAUGUGAAGCAUAUUUGCAUAACCAUAGUAAUUAGUGGAUCAUACUGAAUUAUGAUUACACUCUCCAAUUGUUGGAGGAUGGUGAGAAUAUUUGAAGUAAUUAUGCAUGUAAUUACAAACAAUUACAUUCAAAUGGGAGUAAUUACGUGGGAAUAUAUUUUAUUUUUAUAAUAUAAUUAAUAUACUAAUCUCAUUUAAAUAGUCUAAAAAGUUUUAUUAACCGAAGAUCCUUUUUUAGACAUGUUGAUGUAGUAAAUAUUUAAAUAAAUUACAUAGUAUCUAUUAUUUAUUUAUAUGUGGACAAAGACUAAUUGAGGAUGACAAGGAGUAUAUGUUUAAUAUUAGAGAGGGAAUAAUAACCCAACAAAUAUGGAAUGCUAAAUUGCUUAGACAAAAAAAAAUUAUAAAAUAUUUAUUUUUCAUGUUAAUUUUAUUAAAAUUGUAUAAAAAAAUACUUUUUUGGACUAACAUAUUACAUUUAAAGACUUCAAUUUUAAGUAGAAUUUUUCCUCAAGUAUUAUUGAUAAUAUUUUAUAACAGUUAGUAUUAUUUUUUAGAAUUUCAAAUUAUAAAAUUGUAUAAUUACAUUUUAUAUUACCAUUACCAAAUAUGAAAAAGAUAAUUACUUCGAUUCAAUUAGGUGUUCACGUAACAAAAUAAAUAAUUAAACAAACAAUUAAUAAAGAGUGUGGAUGACCAAGAACUAUAGAAUUUGCUGAUUAAAUGAACCGACGGGAAUGAUGGACAUGUCUCAUUUGGGGCUUAAAAUAAUUUUAUUUUAAUUCGAAUUAAUUAUUAUUCAAUAAAUGUAUUUGUUUUAUUUUGGUUAUUAAAAUGUGUAUUUGUAUAAAUAAUAAUUCAUGAAACUUUCAAUUUCAUUAAAGGGCUUUGAAAAAAAAAAAAAAAUGUCCCCACCACCUUUGGAACUCACCUUGCCGACCUCCAUGCACAUGCACAUGCACUUGCACUUCAAUUAUUUUAUAUAAAAUAAUUAGUUAUGAAUUUGAAUGCAUACAAUCAUUAUCCUAAACUAACUACAUUUUGAUACCUUUUUAACUGUCUCCCACAACCUGAUAUAUAAAAGGAAACAUUGCCUUUGAUUUCAUCUAUACAUCUUUUACCAUUAUUUAAUAAUUGAUACAUCAUUGCCAAGUUGCCAACCCAUCUCUCUUUGUUUUAUUGGUUAAGGUGAGUGCUUUGAAUCCUUACAAAUUUCUCUCAUAUUUGUUCUUUUUAACAUCAUGCUUAAAAUUAUUUAUAGCCUCUCCUCAAUCUAUAAAUAAAAGGGCAAUGCAGUUCACCACACUUGAACCCUCAUCUUUUUAUAUUAACAAUAAUGCACAUUCCAAUUAAGCUAAUACUCAAUUGACAAAUUUAAGUUCAAAUUUUAAUGUGUGUAAUUGCAAGAUACAAAUCUCCAAUCUUAUCGUGUGUAUUUCAUAUAUGAAUUUUGUCUAUUUUUUUUCAAUUUUUCAUCUAAUUUACUUUACAAAAAAUUAAUUUUACACGAUAAUUACUCAAAAAUAUAUAUUAUCCAUGAAUUUGAUUAUCCAUUGAAGGCCAACACAAUAAAUGAAGCGUUCUCAAAUAGGGGUGAGCAAAACUCGAUUCGACUCGAAAAAAUUAAAAAAAAGAAUUCGAAUUUCGAGUUAAACGAAUCAAGUUAUUUGAGUUAAUCGAGUUAUUUUUUUGAAUUUCGAGUUCGAAUCGAGUUGAGUUUUCGAAUUCGAAUCACUCAAAUAAUUCGAGUAAUUCAAAUAUCAAACUAUAAUAUUUUAUAUUUUUACCCCAAGCUCUCAAACCUUUUUAUUUUUCCCUCAAAAACUUUUACUCCUUCCCACUUUCCCCCCAAAACUUUUACUCCCCUCCCAUCCCAACCCCCCAUCUACCCAAAAUCCAUUUCCCACCAAAAUUUUACUCCCAAAACCCCUCAAAAAUUUUUAUUUUCCCCCAAAAUUUUUACUCCCUUCCCAUCCCACCCCCCAUCUACCCCAAACACACCCCCCAAUUUUUUUUAAAUAUUUUCCCUCCAAAAUUUUAAACUUUUACUCCCCAAAACUUUUUAUUUUCCCCCUAAACUUUUACUUCUCACCCUUUAUUCCCAAAUAAAAAAUCAAAAUUAUCCAAAAACAUCUUUAAACAUAAAUAGUAAUACUUUUAUUUAUAUAUACUAUUUAUAUUAUUAAAUUAAAUUUCACAUUUUAUAUUAUUUAUAUUAUUGAAUUGUUUAGUCAUAUUGAAUAUUUAUAUUAAAAUUGAAUUAUUAAUGAUGCCAUAAAAUAUUUGUGUUAAAAUUUUAUAUUGGUAUCAAUUUCACAUUUCAUAUUUAAAAUAACUUUUACUAAAAAAUCACAUUUUUACAUUUAAUAUAUUUUUUUAAUUCCAAAAGACAUAGUGACAAGAAUCUGAAGAUAAUUGAAACAACUAAGCAAGUAAAGAAGCUAACUCGUAUAUAAAAGAUUAAUAAAUAAAUUAUGAGGUGAUGAAAGUUAAUAAAAAAUUUAAUUAUGGUGGACAAAUUUUAUUAUGAUGAGUGACAGUGAUUACAAGGACCUAAAAUUGUUUUUUAAAAUUUAACUUGAACAAAUAUAUUCGAUUCGAUUCAAAUUUCAUUUCACUCGACUCGAUUCGAGAAAAUUUCAAAUCAAAUGAGGAUGAUAAAAUAUAAUUCAUCAACUCGAUUAACUUGAAUUUUUUUCAUUCGAUUUGAUCGAAUGCUCACCCUUACCCUCAAAAGAGUCGAAGGCAACCGAACAUAAGACCCCUAAACAGUAAGCUGAGAACAUAGAAAACCGAAUUUGGUAACUAAGUGAGCUGUACAAACAUGUGGUGAGGUAUUGUUAUUUUAUGAUUAAGAUAGAUCAUGCACAUAGUGUCCACAAUAUAAUUUUUAAUUUAACAAAAGUACAUAUAUAAAAGAAAUAAACUUGUUAUUUUAGCUUUCAAGCAAAAGAACAAAGAAAAAAAAAAGAAAAAGGUGGCUGCUAAAUUUUUUUUUAAUUGAGAGGGAGGAAUUUUCAAGGCUCCUUGAAUAAAUAAAUAAAAAACUAAUUUAAAUGUUAUAAAUUUGAACGGGUUAAAAAUGAGAUUUUCUUAGAAAGAUUCUUCUAGAAUUGUUUUUGUAUUUUGGCAACAAAUUUAUUAUAUGAGUAGAGUUUUUAGAGUAUAAGGUGAAAUAUGUUGUAUUUAAAAUAAAAGGAAAGGAUAGUAUUUAACUCUGCGUGUAAAAUAUCCUAUUCCUUGGGAGACAUUUAAGACAUGUGAAACACGAAUAUAUUUUACUUGUCAAUUUUUGUCUAUGAACUCCGCGUUUUUGCCUAACAACGACGACAUGGCGGCUAACAAUAGGCCCCUUUUUUGGCUGAAUGCCACAUUUUAUAUAUUAAUUCAAACAUACAUUCUUAAAUAAAUUUAAGAGUCAAGCUUUCUUACUUAUAAAAUUUAACUAUAACUUAUCUUGUAUUACAAUUUGACAUUUACUUUUGCUUUUUAAUGUUUGAAAUCAAAUUUUCAAUUCUUGUUCUUUUCAAAUAUGAAAUAGUUAUGGAAUGAGUUUCAUGAUGUGUCAAUCUCUUUCAAUUUUGUUUUUUUUUUACUAAUUACGUCAUUAAAUGAACAAAAAUAGAAUUUAAUUAAAGAAUUUUUUUCCAAGAUCGGAAUUAUAAUUGGAUAGGAGGGACUAAAGGUUUGAUAUUAAAAUUUUUUUAAAAUAAAUCGUAUUUGUUUAGGAAAAUCAAUUUUGAAUCAACAAUUUAAGAAAAAUCGAUUGACAUUGGUAUUGUUGUCAAUACAUAAGGACGUGGGUUCGAGUACGCUGAAGCGCAUUAUCUUCUUAUUUAUAAGUUGGGAGCGGCUAUAGUAAUUUUAGUCAUUGUGUAAAACAAAAAAAUAUGUAAUCAGAAUCUAUAAUAAAAUUAUUAACAAAAAUAUAUUUUUUAACCAAAUAAAUAUAACAUAAAUUUAGUUGACGGUGGAACGGAAUGAAAUUGCUGAUACUUAAAUUUUGGUCAAAAUUAACAAGAAAGAAGUGACUCUUUUAGAGUCAUCAAAAUGUGUGUCCAAAUGCCAACAAUGGACCCAAAGGACCAAAGAGUUGAUAGUUACUUCAAUAAGGCAAUUCAAUUUUAGCAUAGAUUUAACCCCCCAACAUUUGUUUGAAUUUCUUUUAUUUAAAAUAAUUAGAAAUCAUUGAUUAAUUAAAACUUUAAUCAAUUCAACAUAAAAAAUAGAUAAAAAAAAUUGAAAUUGUGACAAAUUUAAAUAUAAUCACUAGAAAAGUCGUAAUUAAUUUGUGACAAAAAUAGAUUAAAAUGCAAUUUUCAUAAAUAUAUUCAUUGUAUACCCAUCUAAAUAUUUUAUCUUAUUAUUUUGCUUUCAAUCACACCUCUUUGUAAAGUAGGUUAUGAUUUAAAAAAAAUUGAAUUUAAAUUGUAAACUUUUUAAAUAUCACAUUUAAUUAAGAAAUGAUUUUAAAAUUGGAGUUAUGCAUGUACUAAUAGUAGUAUUAUUUUCCAAUUUUCCUCCUCGCUUCCUUUGUUAAUUUGUUGAUACCAUUAAUUUUUGACCCACAAGCCGACAUCCUCUUGAAUUAUAUACCUAUAAACCUCACUUGUAACUAUCUAUAAAUAGCCCCAUACCCCUUUCCUCCAUUCUGCAUUAAACAAAUCUAAGCUUUUGCAUAAUAACAUCCCCACCGUAAACAGCCUCACUCUGAGAGUUGUUUAGAAAAAAAAUAAAGUGGUAAGAGAAAUGGCAAAAUUCCCAGUGAUCAACUUGGAGAAACUGAAUGGUGAGAGAGCAGCAACCAUGGAUCUAAUCAAAGAUGCCUGUGAGAAUUGGGGCUUCUUUGAGGUACCGAUUGCUACUUUAUAUGUAUAUAUACUCUAUUCUCCUUGGUAGAUUUUUGCUAAUUAUUAGCGUGGUUCAUUUGGUGCAGGUGUUGAACCAUGGGAUUCCCUAUGAAUUUAUGGACAGAGUGGAAAGCUUGACGAAGGAGCAUUACAAGAAAUGCAUGGAGCAAAGGUUUAAGGAACUGGUGGCAAGCAAGGCCCUUGAGGGUCUCCAGGCUGAGGUUACUGAUAUGGACUGGGAAAGUACCUUCUAUUUGCGCCAUCUCCCUGAAUCCAACAUGGCUGAAAUCCCAGAUCUAACCGAUGAACACAGGAAGGUGAUGAAAGAAUUUGCGUUGAAAUUGGAGAAACUAGCAGAGGAGCUGCUGGACCUGUUCUGUGAGAACCUUGGUCUAGAAAAAGGAUAUCUGAAAAAGGCUUUCUAUGGGGCAAAAGGUCCCACCUUUGGCACCAAAGUUAGCAACUACCCACCAUGUCCCACCCCAGACAAAAUCAAGGGACUCAGAGCCCACACGGACGCCGGUGGCAUCAUCUUGCUGUUCCAAGACCCCCAAGUGGGCGGCCUUCAGCUUCUUAAAGACGGGGAAUGGGUGGAUGUUCCCCCCUUGCGCCACUCCAUCGUGAUCAACCUGGGAGACCAGCUGGAGGUGAUCACCAACGGCAAAUACAAGAGCGUGGAGCACAGGGUGAUUGCCCAAACCGACGGGGCUCGCAUGUCGAUAGCUUCGUUUUACAACCCCGGCAGCGACGCCGUUAUCUACCCGGCGCCAGCCCUGGUGGAGAAAGAAGAAGAAGAAGAAGAAGAGAAGAAAGGAUUGUACCCAAAAUUUGUGUUCGAAGAAUACAUGAAGCUUUACGGUGUGCUUAAAUUCCAGGCCAAGGAGCCGAGGUUUGAAGCCAUGAAAGCCAGGGAAGCAACAGCUUAAAGAGAAUUCAAUACCUGACGUAGCUUUGAGUUUGAUCAAGAAAUGGGUUCUGUUAAUGGUGUAUUAAAGAAAAAAGAAGUCAAUGUUUAGUAUAGUCUAUUGAAUAAUCUAUUUUAUUAUAAACAGUGAGGAUCCUGUCAAUUUCUACCAUAAAAGAUUUGAUAGAAUAAAAUUACUUACAAAGGGAAUGGUGGGUUGCCACAAAGGAACAUGAAGAUAUGCAAUAAUCUAUUUUAAGUGUGUGAGAAAAAAAUAUUAAAGAAAAAAGAAGUCAAUGUUUACCUUAGGUGAGUGUUUUGAUUUAAUACUCUAAACAGUGACGAUCCUAGCUGCGGACCUUCAUGCACUUGCACUUCACUAUAAAAUAAUUAGUUAUAAAUUUGAUUGCAUUAUUUAAUUAAACAUUAGCUUUUAUCAUAAACUAACCACAUUUUGAUACGAAGGGCCCUUUUAACUGUCUUCCACUACGUGUUCUAUAAAAGGAAACAUUGCCUUUGAGAAAGCUAUUAUUUGAUGUAAUUAUUCUUACUAAUUAAGUCUUAAUUCAAUUAAUAUUGGUAUUGUUGUCAAUGUAGGAGGAAAAUGGGCUAUUUGUAGUUCUAGACAUUGUAUUAAACAACAAAGAUCAAAAAUCAUGAUACAUAAAAAAUACAACAUUAAAUUUAGCUGAUUAAUAAUUGGUACAUCAUUGCCAUCCAGGCCUUCGCAUUGUUUGGAUUUUAGGGAUUUUAGUUGAAUAUAAUUUUUUUUCCAUCUAUUGUACUUUAUAAAAAUUUAAUUAUAGACUGUAAUUACAUUAAGCAUAUUAAAAAUGGAAACAAGGGCGAAGGAAGGAACAACCCUCAAUCAUAUUAAAAAUUGAAACAACUCCCUCGUAUGAUACAAUUAUAGUUUGGAAUCCUUCAAAUUUUGAUUUACUACUCUUUUUAAAAAUCAAUCACUAUAAUAAUAUAAUUACAUUUCAAUCCUUAUCAAAAUAUAGUUUUAACCCAACAUAUAAGACCCAGAAACAGAUAACCAAACUUGAUAUCUAAGUGUGGUGAGGUAUUGUUAUUUUAUGAUUAAGAUCCACAUUAUAAUUUUUAAUUGAACAAAGUUACAUAUAUAUAAAACAAAUAAAUAUACUAGUUGUUUUAGCUUUAAAAAAACACACAGAAAAGGAUAACCACACAAACAAAAAAACAAAGGUGGCUGCUAAACAUUUAAAAAGAAAAAAAAAAAGGAGCACAAUUAGGUUAGAAAUUAGUAGAGAGAAGAAAUUUUCAAGACCACUUGAAUGAAAGGAAUGAAACAUCAACUUAUUAUUUGAUCAAAUCCUCACUAUUAUGGAUGUAAUGCAAGUAAGGAUCAAUUCAAAUCAAACUAAUGCCACUCUUUAUUUUCCUUCUAAUACUGUGAAGGCGAAUAGUUUUUUUAGAAGAAAUUAAAUUACAUAUUUUUAUGAGGACUAAUAUAUAAAUUUAUUAUUUUAAUAAUUUAUAUCUUUUUACUUUUUUAAGGAUUAAAUUAAAAUUUUAUCAUUUUCGAGUGCCAUAUACUAACUUAAAUUUUUCAUAAAUUUUUGAGGGGUUGAGGCCCCUUCCAACCCCCUCUAGCAUUGUCCCUGCUUUCUAGUAGCAAAUUUAUUAAGCAUAAUGACUUUUUUGACCCUCUAAUUUAAAAAAAAAUGUCAAUUUAGCCAUCCAUUUAAUUUUUCACCUCUUUUAGCCCUUUAACUUGAAUUUUUUUUGUUAAAUCACCCAAAAAUGGAUGGAAAAAUUAAUGUUUGUUAACUUUAAUGAUGCGGCAUACACAUGGAUUGCCAUGCAUAUAACAUGUAGCAUUUAAUUAAUUUUUAAAAGUAUAUUUUUUUUAUAGUUUUUAUAAAUUUGUAAUAAUUUUAAUGGUUUUAAUGGUUUUAAUUUUGAAAAAUAGUUUUUAUAAAUUUUCUUGAAUUUUUAAAAUUUUUAAAAAUUAAUUAAAUGUUAACGUGUCAUCAUGUUAUGCAACGUCAACAAAGUUAAAAAGUAUUAACUUGCCCAUUCAUUUUGGGGUGAUUUGACAAAAAAAAUGUAAGUUUAGGAACUAAAAAAGGUGAAAAAUUAAAUUGAGAACUAAAAGAAUUUUUUUAUAUAAAGUUGAAAGGUUAAAUAAUUCAUUAUGCGAAUUUAUUAUGGUUGGUUUUUUCACUGUAUGUUAGUGGGGGUUUUAGAUUAUGCAAGCAUGAUUUUAAGGAUGAUAUAUGAAAAAUGUGAUAAGAUUUAAACUUUACUUAUAGAAUUAAAAUAAAUUUUGGUGUCAGUAAGCAAAUUAAACUUUAAAAACUUUUCUGUUUUUCUCCCUUCCAUCAAUUCUCUCUUUCUUUUUUCUCCUUAUUUAUUUCACGUGCCUUCUCUCUUUUCAAUUUGCAUAUAUAUUUUGUAGAUAUCUUUGUUGCCUUCACAAAUUGUAAUGGACAAAUGAUGGUAUCUGUUGAUGCUGAAAUUUCACCGGUCACUAGUAGUUUCUCUUAAAAGUGAGUGGCUCUUCGUUACCUUCUUAAUUUGUUUCUAUUUUGAGAGUAUUUCAAAAUAAUAAAUAAUUUCAUGAGUCACUUUUGGGCACUUGUUUUCUUUAAGCUUUAUGUGGUUUUUUUUUAUUUGUUUUCUAUUAUUUUAAAAAGUCUUUACUUUUAGAAGUUGUUUGCUCUUGUAUCAUGAUUUUUAGUAUUGUUUUUGCAAGUGAUUUUAAGGACGAUUUUGUUGUCAUCCUCUCUAUAGUGUGGUGGAUGCUUAAUUCUUUUGUUGAUUUUUGUCUGCCGCUUUGGACUAUCCGAAGUUGAUUUUCCUAUCGCAUUAAGUGCUUGCAAUCACUCCAAAUAUUUCAUGCUUAAGUUGUAAAAGAAGCCAAUUGUACAUGUCACAAUGUUUAUUUGAUGUUGAUGUUGAGGUUGAAGUUUCUUUUAUGUUGUUGGAGUUUGUCCUUUACCACUUACGAUGACUGUUUUUUCUCUCGAUUUAUAUAAUUUCAUUAAUAGAAUAAAUUAAUAAAUUUCCCUUAAUAAAAAAUAGUUUUGGUUUUUAUUUAAUAAAAUUUCUUAUGACUUAUCAUUCUUCCAGAGGUAUUGGCAAUUUUCCAUUGCUCAUAUCAUAUGGAGUGCAUGUACUCCACAUUUAAAACAUGUCAAAUUUUACCCAAAACAUUCCACACCAUUUUGGAAUUUGAUUUUUCUUUUCCUUUUUAUUUUACUUUUCAACACGUGAUGCGUUUCUAAUACAACUUUUGGAAAAUAAUUUAUAUAAGGAUAAUUUUAAAAGUCAUCAAUAAAAUUUCGUUAUAUUUAAAGAUAUAAAAUUAUUAAUUUUUUUUAAACAUAAGUAAUUAAAAUAAGAGAAAAAAAACUAAAUAACAUAGAAACUUUAAAAUUUAUACAUUUCUUAUUAUUGAAGAUUCAACACAAUGUAUUUUUUACUUUUAAAAAAUGAAAUAAAAACAAUUUAAAAUGGGAAAAAAAAAGAAAAAAAUCACUAUCUAGAAAUUAUUUUUUUAAAAAAAAUUAGUUUCACAAAAAUAAAAAAUAUUAACUUCAGAAAAAAAUAAUUAAAAACUAUAAAAUAAAAAAUAUGUUUGUUUAUAAUUUAAAAAAAAAUAAUUAUUUAAGUAAUUUAAUUAAAGUUAAAUUAGGUUGAAGAAGAUAGUAGAUGUAGAUGAGUGUUAUUUUUAAAAUUUGAUAAUGUGACGAAAUUUUAUUAGUACUUAAAAUUGUAUUUUUUAAAAUAAUCCAAAUAUAUAAUAAUAACCGAGUAUUAAAAAAUUAUACAUUUAUACGGAUUAAUUAAUAAAUGAUACAUUUAUUAUUAGAUCACAGAAAUCUUAAGAACUAAAUACAUUGAACAAACAUGUGGUGAGGUAUUUUGUUGUUUUAUGAAAAAGGAUUACCAAAUUUUUAGCCCACAUGCAAAGGAACAAAAAUAGAGGUGGCUGCUAUAAGGGAAAAAAGAAGAAGCAAAAUUAGGUAAGAAAUUAAUAGAGAAUGAAACAUACAUUUAUUAAGGGUGUAAUGUAAUUAAGAAAAUAUACAAUAUUAAUUUAUAUUAAAAUUCAUUCUUAUUUUUACUUGAAAGAAAUGUUUUGACUUGUCAACUGAAUUACACGUUUUAGCCUAACAAGGACGACAUGGCGGCAAACUACAGGGUAUUGGAGUAGUAGUUUUAAUCGUAUUCAUAUUCAGAUUUUUCCAUAAAAUAAACAUAAACUCCUUAAACCAAGUCCAUCGUCACAUUUAUUUUUUUUAUUUUUAUUUUUAUAUAUAAUUCAAAUUCCCAAAAAUCUAACACUAAGGCAAAUCAUGUUUGUGUUAUUUAUUUUUAAAAAACUUUUAAUUUAGGUAUUCAUGUUUGAAUUUAUUCAUAUUUUAGUCUCCUGUUGUUAAAUUGAUAACAAAAAACCCUUUUUUUAACUUAUAGAAUAACUCAUUUACUCAUCAGUACUUACAUAUAGCGGUGUUCAAACGGUUAGUUCAGUUAAUACUCUAAUUGAAUUACCCAAAAUGUAAACAUAAAUUUUCUUCAAAUACAUUAAUCGAAUCGAAAUAUUUCCGUUAAUUUUGAUUAAAAUAAGUAUAAAACAUAUAAAAAUUACAGUGCUGAUGUUCAUUUUUUUUAAUAGUUCAAAAACUUUAAAUGAAGGGAAAAAAACAAAUAAAAUAUUAGAAUCACUACAUAAAUCUUGAAAGUUAACAACCAAACAAAAAGUUAACAAUUAUUUAUAAUAUUUAUUAUUUAAUUCAGUUAAUUACUCAAUUUCAAACCAAAUUAACCGAUAAUCAAAAUUUCACAAAAUCAUUAAUCGACCUCCAGCCGAACUAAAUUCGGCCACUGAUCGAUAAACCGAAUUAGAUCGGUUCUGUCAGUUAAUUCAGUUUUAACCAAACUAUGAACCCCUUUGCUUACAUAUUAUAUCAAUUUGAUCCGAAUUCUAAAUAAUUCAAUAAAUUUAACCUUUCACAUUUAAAAAUUCUAUCAAUUUGAUCCUCAAAUCAAAGCUUUCAGCUUUUUAAAACAAAGACAUUUCACAUUUAUAAAUUUGUAAAACCCAAAAAAAAAAAAAUUUCUCUUCACUAACGAGUCAUUUUCCAAACCAACUUCCUUUUUUUUUCAUUAGUUUUCUUCUAAAUAUAAUAUUUCUAUAACCUUUUGAUUGAUAAAAUUUUGGUUAAAGAAAAUGAAAAAACAUUAAAGAUUUUUUUUUUUUUGAAAUCAAACUGGGAACUUUUUAUUAAAACAAAAUAAACCCAAACAAGUGCAUAAGCCUAUCAUAGACAAAGGUAAUCAUCCUAAAAAAAACUAAUUGGAGUCCAAACGUCAAAACCAAGGUAGAACACUCUAGAACUAAAGCAAGUGAAAUAAUAAAAUAAGAUAAAAGUAUUGAUAAUCUCAGUCUGCCAUUAGUGAUCUGUCUCCAAAUUUCCCAUUUUCAAUAGUCUUUUGGAUUUUGUUGGAAUCGGAAAUCUGGGAGUUUUGUGACGAGAUUAGAGGGAUGACCUCUCAACUCCCUUUUCAUCAGUUCUUCAUCUAUUCGCAUCAAUCUGGUUCUCUUGGCCGUUCCAUUUCCAAUUGCCAUUUAGAGUAGCUAUAGGGGUGUUUAUUCGGUUAACCGACCCGAAAUAACAUUAACCGAAUUAACCGACCUUUCAAAAUCUUUAAUCGUUAACCGAACCAAAUUUUUUUUCAAAAAAAUUAACCUAACCGAAAAUUAUAUGUUUUUUUUAUUUUUGUUUAAAAAUUAACCGAAUUAACCGAAUUAUCCGAAUUAACCAAAUUGAAUCACUACAUAAUUAAAUUAUUUUUAGACUUUAGACUUUAGUUUUAGUCUUAGUUUUAGAAUUUUAUUUUUAAUUAUUAAAUUAUUUAUAAUUCCUAUGAUUGGGUUGGGUUGAAUACUUGGGUUUAGAUUGGGUUUAGGUGAAUAGUGGGCCUAUUUAUAUAUUAUAAUUUUAUUUAUUAAUUUUUUCGGUUAAACCGAAAAAAUUUGGUUAACCGACCGGUUUCGAACCGAAUUAACUGUUAACCGAAAAAUCAAAAAAUAAUUAACCGACCCCCAACCGAAAAAAUUAGAUUAACCGACCGAUUAAUCGAAUUCGGUCGGUUAACCGAAUUUUUUCGAUUUUACCCGAAUUUUGCACACCCCUAAGUAGCUGGGGACCUCUCCCAUCAGGUAAACUAUUUCUUUUUGCUUUAGGUUUGUCGUGGCUAUGUUAUGGGCUAACUAAUUAGCCGACCUAGGAACAAAGUGAAAAACUAGUGAUUGAAAUCUUUCUUUUUCUUUUUGGAUGUCCCUGAUAUGCGCGCUGAUUUGUGAUUUAUUGAUUGAUCUUGUCAUACAUUUGUUGAUGAUGGAUUUGGAGUCUCCUUCCACUAUUACAUCUAUGAAACCCAUUUCGAUCCCUGUGAGCAUGACUUCAAAACAUGCGAUAGCUUCUACGUCAAAGGCCGUGCCAACCGCCGUAGGAAAGUGAGAUUUAAAAAUCAUGACUUCUCUGUUGGCAUUUCGUGCCAUAAUCGCAGAUGUCGAUUUAAGGUCCAUACAGUCGAACGAGGAUCGAAAUUGAUUUUAAUGGUCUGGUAUCAGGUGAUUUCCAUUUCUCCUUUUCCCCAAUGGUGAUAAUCUUUCUUUCAGCCAAACCAUCCAGUUCAUAAAUGUAAUGUCUGGUGAAAUUUGCUGCUUUUGUUCCUGAGUAAGAUUUUCCUUCAUGCAGAUUUCUAUUCCUGUCAAGCCAAAGCACCCAUAUUUCACAGACAAACAAGCGUCAUUGGAGCUCAGUACACUUGCUAAAAAUCCAUGUAAGCCAUUCUAAGCAAUUUAUUGAUUCCCUUUGGACUAUACAAUCAAAGUUUAAGUUUUGCCAUAUUUCUACUAUUGUAGGGCAUCCGGCAAAGACAUUCCAAAGAGUUCCAAUACCCACCUUGCAUCUGAGGCACUUGUUGCUAUGGGUCAAUCUCCUAACAUAUAAGUUGACCAUCGUGGGGAGGAAAUUCCAAGACACUCUCCAGAGCAUAAUCUUUAUUUUGUUAGGGAUUUGUAGUUCCCAUAGUUGUUUGUAGAAUUGUUUUAUUAUGUUCCGUAGAACAUUAAAUCUAGUUGUAGUAUUUUGGGUCUGUAAUAGUUUAUAGGCACUCCGAGUAGUAUUUUGGGUCUGUAAUAGUUUAUAGGCACUCCGAAAUCGAGCAUGUACCCGAGGGCUCACCGCGCUAUAUGAUCAUAUCAUCAUGCUUGUCGCUCGCUAAUGGGAUCUGUAAGAUUCUGUCCGUAUAAUUUGUCUCAAAGGUAUUACGAAUAAGCUCUUCCUUCCAUACUCUAUUGGUACUGUCAAUUAAACAAGCAACAGUAGAUAAGUCUGUGUUAUUAAUUUGAUUAUAUACUCUAUAAUUUUCUACCCCGGGCAACCACGAAUCCUCAUUAAUUAAUAUGAUUUCCCCUGUACCAACUCUCCAACUCAGACCUUCAUUGAAAAGACUUUUUGCUGCCCAAAUACUUUUCUAUGUGUAUGAUGGUGUGCGUCCUAGCCCAGCCUAUAGGAAAUUAGUAGAAGAAUAAUAUUUUGCUUUUAGAAUCUGUACUAGUAACAAGUCUAGUUUUUCAAUUAGACGUCAUCCUUGCUUGGUGAGUAGGGCCACAUUAAAUUUGGCCAGAUUCUUAAAACCCAAACCACCUUUCUAUUUUAGUUCACACAUUUUCUCCCAGCUACACCAAUGGAUUCCUUUGCGCCCAUGUCCUUUCUGCCAUCAAUACUUAGCUAUUAUCGCUUCCAUUUCUCCACAUAAAGUUUUUGGUAAUAAAAAACACGUCAUGGAAUAGGUAGGAAUUGCUUACAGGACUGAUUUGAUGAAGACUUCCUUAUCCCCUUGUGACAAGAAUCUCAAACUCCAUCCAUCAAUUUGCUUUUUAAUUUGAUCCUUUAAACUUUGAAAGGAUGUCUUAUUUUUCUUUCCUACCAAAUUGGGAAGACCAAGAUACUUCUUAAUAUCAUUCGAUCUUCUCACUUCUAGCAAUCCCGUUACCAACUGUCUAUCAGCUUCUAAGGUAUUAGUGCUAAAAAUAUGGUGGACUUUUCAAAGUUCACACACUGGCUAGAACAUAAUUCAUAUGUUUUUAAAAUUCUUCUAACCUGUUGAGCUCUCUUACUGGCCACACACUGGCCAGAACAUAAUUUAUCCGCAAAGAGGAUGUGAGAAAUACCUACUAGCCUUUAUCCCUUUAAGCUCUUCCAUUCUCAAUGCCGAACGCAUGAGGGAUGAGAGGCCUUCAUAGCAAAUUAGAAAAAGAAAGGGACUAAGAGGGUCCCUUUGAUUAAGUCCUCUCGUUGGCCUAAAACGUUCUCCUUUACCCCCAUUUAGAAUGAUUGAGUAAGAGACUGUCGUUAUACAUUUCAUUAUAAAAUCCACCCAAUGUUGCACAAAACGUAUUCGCUCCAUCAUAAUCCUUAGAAAAUCCCAUUCUACCUUGUCAUAAGCUUUACUCAUAUCAAGCUUGAGUUCCAUGUGCUCUUUUUUUCCAACCCUUUUAUUCUUUAGUGUAUGCAUGAUUUCAUAGGCCACAAGCACGUUAUCAAUAAUUAAAUAUCCUGGAAUGAAGGUACUUUGUGCAUUAUCUAUACAUGUUUCAAAAACAUGUUGAAAUCUAUUAGCUACCACAUUAACUAUUACUUUGUAGAGAACAUUGCAUAAAUUAAUAGGUCUAAAAUUUAUCCUAUUUGUGGGUUGAGAGAUUUUGGGUAUCAAUACAAUGUUCGUGACAUUUAGAAGUUCCAAAUCUCUGCCUUCAAUUAAAAUUUCCAAACAAAAGGAGGUUACCUCUGUACCGAUUACUUGCCAACAUUUUUGAAAGAAAAUUGCUUGAAAGCCGUUGUCUUUAGGAGCCUUUGUAGGGCCCAUUCCUUUCAAAGCUAUCCAGAUUUCUUUAGCGGUGUACUUUGUUGUAAACUGUAUAUUUGCAUAUUCAGUAAUGCAUUUCUCAAUUCCUUGUAAGAACAAUUCGAUGUUGCUUACUCCUCCUAACAUGAACAGCUCUUGAAAGAAGUUUUUUGCUAUCAUCUCCAUCUCGUCCACACCAUUGACUUUUUCUCCAUUUUUAUUGCGUAAGCUUCUAAUAGUAUUAGUCCUAUUUCACUGAGUGGCACACUUAUGGAAGAAUGUCGUGUUUCUAUCUCCCGAUUUCAGCCAAUUGGCACGUGCUCUUUGCUCCUAGUAUGCCUUAUCUUUAUCAAUUUCUAGAUUGAGAUGUAUCUUUGUGUUUAUAAUUUCAAUCAAAUUCCCAUCAUUCCUGUCCUCCUCUAGCAAACUCUCUAAUUUUCGACUUAACUUAUGUUUGAUCCCUACCCUUCCUUUUCAGAUUUGAGUUACCCAUUGAAUAAUUCCCUAUUUUAAAUUUUCAAGUCUAUUCGAUAGUGAUCCUACAGAUUUUUCCCAAAUAUUUGACUCUGUCUUCUCAAAAGAACUUUCUAGUAACUACCAUGCCUCAAACAGAAAUUAAGCCUUAUGGAUCUCCUUACGUUCCUGCUCUGUAUGAAUGAGUAAAGGACAAUGAUCUAAAUGUGAGUAGGGUAAGUAUUAAAUACGAGCAUGGAGGAAAGUCGAAAACCACUCUGUAUUCUCCACCCCUUUAUCUAGCAUUUCCUGUAUGUUCGUUUCUGGUAAGUUUCCCUUUUUCUCAUGUAAACCACAAUCCAGAAAACCCAACAUCCAUAAGUUGACACUAAUCUAGAAUUGUGCGAAAAGCCUCCAUUCUUCUUUCAUCUCUUGGCACCAUUCCUUUCUUUUCGAAUGAAUAUAAGAUUUCAUUAAAGUCCCCACAAUAAUCCAGGGAUGAGUUUGAGUCCUUCCCAAUUGUCUGAGUAAGUUCCAAGUGCUACACCUUUCAUUAGCAAAAGGUGUUCCAUAAAAUCCCGUGAAUCGCCAGUCCUUGUUGCCUUGAUUUUCUUUAAUAAGAGUAUUUAUAUGAUUUUUAGAAUAGCUAAUAAUCGUGACUUGAAUAUCUUGUUUCUAAGCCAAUGAGAGCCUACCAUACGAACUUUCUGCUGAAUAUCAAAACCAUUUAUGAAUUCACAGCUUCUCCUAAUCCUAUCUGUACAAGCCCAAUUUUUAGCCCAAAACCCAAUUAACCCUAAACUAAAUAAAAACAAUUAAACCCCAACUACCCAAUUACAAACCAAAGCCCAAAUCAGCAACCCAAUACCCAACUAGCCUAACCCGAAGCCCAAACCUAGCCCAACUACCCAACUGGCCCAAUCCCUCCAAAGUCAAACUAGGGUUUCAGAAAAGAAACCCUAGCGCCGCAUCUGCUGACCAGCCGCCACUGCCACAGUCAUGUCGCCCACUUGCCCUGCCACCGCCGCUUCUGCCGCCGCACGUCCCAUCGCCACUUGCCUACAAAACGAGAGAAAGAAAUGACAAGUAAUAAAUAAAAAAUAUUGUAAAAAUGGCUAUAAAGCCAUAGCAAAAAUUGUAAAACAAGGUUCCCCCCCCUUUUCUCUCGAUUUGAAGAAAUAAAAAAACAAAAAAAAAACAGAUUCAACAACCCCUUUUCGGUAUAUUUAUUUUCUUUUUCUAAUUUUAAUUUGUUUUUCUUUAUUUUUUUCUUUCGAAUUAUUUGUGUUCGAUUUUGUUUCUUUUGUUUUUUAAAACUAUAUAUAUAACAUAUAAAAAAAGCAGAAAAAACAUACCUUUUGAUUUUUCAUGCCACCGUGUACUGUGGCCGGCGCGACGGCGUCGUCGGCGGAGGAUUGCCGGAGCCCAUGGCCAGACUUGGGGCCUGAGAGAGAAUGAGAGAGCUCUCUCUCUGUUUUUUUUUAAAUGAUGAAACUGAUUUGUUUUUUGGUUUUUCUUAUUAUUUAUACUAAACAUGAAACGACGUCGUUUUGGUGGGGAGGAUCCGCGUGUUGACCUGACCCAACCGCCUAGGAUCCGCGUGUUUUCUAGCGCAUGGGUAAUUUGCGCACGCGGUCCUCCCUCUUUUGCGAUGGUUUACAAUUUGGUCCAUAGUUGUUGUUUCUCUCUUUUUUAAUUUUGCUGUAUACUUUUUAUUUUGUUUCACUUUGGUCCAUAUUGCAGUAGGGCAUUCCGUGGGCUGGGGAUAAUUUCCCAUUUGGCCCUCCGUCCUUUCGCGCCUUGUCAUUUUGGGCCCACUGUGUCUAUUUUAUUAUGGAUUCGACCUUUAAAUUUUAUUUUUAUCAUGAAUUAGUCCAUUUUGCCUUUUUUUUUAAUCUAGCUAUUAUCAUAUAUUUUUUUUCUUUUUUUUCCCCUGUUAGUUACGUAGUCAUUAAUAUUAUAACAUUAUAUCAUAUUACUAGCGUUGCAUUAUUAUUAUUAUUAUCGUUAUUAUUAUACUUAUUUUUUAUGUAUAUAUAUGUAUAUUUUUACGAUUACUACUAUUAUAUCAUAAGUUUUAAAUUAUUAUUGUUAUAUUUUUAUUUUAUAUUUACUUAUUUAAAUUUAAAUAUAUUUUGUCCUAUUAUUAUUACUAUUAUAGCUAUUUAUUUAUAUCUUUGUAUCUUAUUAUAUAUAUACCUUUAUAAACGUUUUUUAUAGCUUAUAUACAUACGUUUUGUUAUAUAUAUUCAUAUAUAUAUACCUAUAUAUAUAGACUUUUUAUAUUUAAUGAUUGUUGUAUAAGUAUAUAUGUAUAUACAUACACUUACAUAAUUUUUCAUGUAAUAAUACGUACAUAUGCAUAUGUUUUUUUUUUAUAUUUUCAUAAUUUUAUACAUAUAUAUAGAUGUAUAUAUAUUUUUAUAAUUUUGUUAAUCUUGUUCAUUUAUUUAUUUACAUGUCCGUUAUUAUUAUUUGUUAUGCUUUAUAUUUGUUUAUUAUUGUACAUACGUGAUCGAUUUUAUUUAUAUAUAUGCGACUUCUUAUUUAUUUAUAUUUUGUUUUGCUUAUAUUAUUUUAUUUACAUCAUUAUCAUCAUCAUUCUAUUACACCCAUUUUUUUUUAGACUUCAAAAAAGAAAUUUUAAAAAUAUAAGUAAUAUUCGGUAUUUUGGAUCUUCGAGAGAAUCGAGCCCUAACGUAUUGGGUUCCGACUUUCUUCGUUGAACUUAAAUAAUCGAGAUUACUCUUUUAAAAAUGAUAAAAGCUCGUUAUCGAGAAUUCAAUAUGUUGUGUCCUAACGCAUUGGAUGUGACACGUUGUUUUCUCGAAACGAGGAUUUUUCGAAAUAAAUAUAAUAUUCAAUGUUUAAUAUUUUGAUAAAUUGUGCCCUAACGUAUUGGGUUGCGAUUUCUUCAUUUGAUCUAAACAAUUGAAUAUUCUCUUUUACACGACUCUUGUCAAACUCAAGUUUUAAACGAUAUCGGGAACUAAAAAAGGAUCGUGUCCUAACUUACUGGUCGUGAUCCCUUUUUUAUCCAAAAUAGUUAAAUAUCUUUUGAACAAGCAUUUUCAUUCGCCUAUCGGGAAUUCGAGACAUUGUGUCCUAAUUUACUGGAUAUGAUUCUCUUUCUCGAAUAACGUGAAACAUGCCCUUUUCCUGAAAAUUUUCAACGUUUUAAUACAAGGAUCGUAUUUUUAAAAUUUUCCAAAGUUCUCAAUUUUUGACAUUAAGACAUUAAGUAAUCAACUAAGGUACCAAUUUUGGGCGUAUCGAGGGUGCUAAUCCUUCCUCGUGCGUAACUGACUCCCGAACCCGUUUUCUAAAGUUCGUGGACCAAAACCGUUGUUUUAAUAAAAUCAAAUUAUUUAUUAAAAACAACUUUUUUCAAGGUGACCCAAUCACACCUCAAAAGGAUUGGUGGCGACUCCCGUUUUUAUUUUCAAAAUCCAAGUCGACCCGUUUUCAUCCAAAAAAUAGUGUCAACACUAUCUAUACGAGUGCCAUUCACUUUUGUCUCCAUAAAGAAGACCAUUUGGGGAUUAUGUUGCUUCAGUGUGAACUGAAGCCUUCUUAUUGCUCGAGGACUCCCCAAUCCUUGAACAUUCCAACUUAUUGUUUCAUUGGGUCCGGUCGGCUUGCCUAUUGGCAAUUGCCGAUCCUAAUUGGGAAGACAGAGCCAUUUAAUCUUUCGAUUUCUUCAGGGAGUGGUAGUUUACCCCAUCAUCUUCAAAUCGCACUUUUUUAUGAUUAUUCUUAAUGACUGAACAGAUCUCGGUAUCGUCUUCUUCAGCUGAAAAAUCCUUCCUCUUACAUGUUACGUUUUCCAUCUGGACAUCAUUAAUCUGCCCUAUCCUUCCUAUUUUUUUCCAACUUAACUUUUUUGGGUUUUCUAUUUUCUUAUCUCAGUUGCACUAAUAUUUGUCUUAAAUUUUGCUGAAUCCCAAGGCUGUUCUAUUUUUGUAAUUAAGUCAUUAAAAUCGAUAGUUCCAGAUUCAAUUAAGUCAAGACGACUUUGAUUAUUUGUCUUAUUUUCCUCAAACUUGAUGGGUAUUUCCUCAGGUCACAGAUCUGUCAAAAAUAUUUCCUUUUGUAAUUUUUCCUACCCUUAUUGUGUUGCUACCUGCUUCUUGCUUGUAAUGAAAUAUUUUAGAGAAUUAGUUCCAGAUGUGUCCAAUCCUUCAUUCUCCCUAGUAUAUAAACAUUGUUUCAUGGAUUUUUUUACUGAAACACCCAAUUGGAGACUUUCUUUACCAACUAGAUUAGAUUCAGCUUUCAGCGCCAGUGAGUAAGGGAGGUCAUCUUCCCUUUUUUCCACCUCCAAAUUUGAGAUCUCCUUACAAUCUUUCGCUACAUGUCCCAUACAACCACAACCAAAGCAAAAAUUCGAUAGGGCUUCAUAUUUAAAGGGGAGCCAAACUUUUCCUUGAUCGCCAGUUGUAAUAAAAAUUCCCCUCUGAAGUGGUUUUCGAGCAUCUAGCUGAACUUUCAACUGAAAAACAUCACUUUUUAUCUCCAACCUUAAUAUCCUUCCAAAAGUCAAACCUAUUGCGUGCAUCAAAUCUUUCUUUUCACAUUCUGGUGGGCAAGGGCCAAUUUUGAGCCAAAACGGGGAGAAAAUUAAUUUGAUAUUGCUUCUUUCUGUCGCCUCCUUCAAUUUGUCAAAAAUUAUCAAUUGUCUUCUAAAUAGCCACGGUCUGUCUUCCAUAAUCAUCUCUAAAUUGUUCUCUUCCUUGAAUGAGGUCUGAAAUAGAUUUUUCCCAACCACUUGGAUUUCAAAUUUUCUCCUAGUUUUCCAUAUACUUCUCAACUGUGCACGAAAACUAUCUGGGUUGUAUGAUUUCCUCGACCACACAGAGCAUAAUAAUGAUAAGGUACUUUUUAGUACAACCAAAGAGCUAUUUACUGUCAACUGUAUUAGUUCUUCUGCUAAGAGGGAGAUCUCGUCUCCCGCCAUCUCGGAAAGAAGUCACCGCCCUACUCCACCCCAACCAUAGCCAGUCUUGUUUCUUUGGGAUAUUAAGAGAGAGCACUCUUGACCUAACCUUAAAAAAAACUCUUUAGAUUUAGUUGUUGUUUGAUAAACUCAAAAAUUAAGUGCUGAAAAAAUAAGUAUUAAAAAUUGAAGUAUUGAAUUUAAGUUACAAUUGAAGUAUUGAAUUUAAGUUACAAAAUUGUUUGAUAUAUUACUUAAAAUUAAUUAUGCAAUAUAAUUAAAUUGUUUGAUAAAUAUAAAAUUUAAAUUAUAAAGAAAUUAUAUUCUACAUUUUAUCCUUAAUUUUUAAACAUUUCACUUUAUUUUUAAAAAAAUCAAAUUUUAAACACAAAGUUUUUAUAAGAUAAUGUAAUAUUAAAAUAAAUAAAAUAUAAUUGAAUUAAUUAAAAAUAUUUCCCUAAUAAAUAGCUCGUCUACUUAUUAUUUUCCACACCUUUCUUAUAGAAAAAAUUCUUUCAGGUUGUUUUUAUUUUGGAUUAUCAAACACGAAUAACAAAUUAAAUAUAUUGAAAAUUAAUAUUUUUAAUAGAUUUAAAAAUUUUUCAACAAUCUAUCAAACAAGGCUUUACUCUUGUUGUUAACAGUAUGAUAUUUCCUUUAAGGUACAUAGAAAUAGUUCUCGAAGUUGGUCCUUGAAAUUGGAAACUAAAUCCAGAGUUAAAAAAUAUGGAUUUGAAAAAUUCAAUUGUUUAAUUGUAUAAGAAAAAAUAUAACAUUUAAUUUUUCAUAAGAAAAAAAAAGGUGAAAGAAUUAAUUGAAUUUCUUUUUGUUACAUUGAUUAUGAUUUUUUUAGUUAUAAACUAAUUAAUAGAUUAUUAUGUGCUUCAUUUAUUUUUACUUAUUUUUUUAUUUUUAAAUCCACAAUAAGUAUUACAUAUCACCAAUAUUUUGAUUUAGUGUAAAAUAAUUUACCAAAGAAAUUAAAAACUAAAAUUAUUCUAGUUAGAGUGAAAUUUUAAUUUUUACAAAUAUUAAUUUAUUUCUAUAAUUUUACUAUUUAAUAUGUUUUUUAAUUUAUAUUUUCUAUUAUUUUUAAUGUUGUUUAGUUAAUUUCUAACGGCAACAUCUUGAAAAUAUAAACAAAAAGGGUACUUAUUGUAAUAACUCAAAUUUGCUCAGCCCAAACCAGAAAUAAAUAAACAAAAAUAAAGACCAAAUGAAAAUAGUCCAAAAAUAGUCCAUUUACACUGGGCUCAAUAUGGCCCAAACUAAACACAACCCACUACCCAAAAUCAAGCCCGAAUAUCCCUAGCCCAAAACUGAAACAAAAUAGAAACCCUAGGGUUUCGGAAAUGGCACGAGCGCCGCAACAGUGACCCCCAGUACCGCACACCUUCGUACGUGCCACGUCCGCUCCUCCCACGCGCGUCUGCCUCUUCACGCACGUAGCGCCACCACGAGCCUCCAGCUGGCCUCCGUACGACCAUACCUGCGCAACACACAAACAAACAGCAAGAGAAAAGCAGAGAAAAAAAGGAAAAACAGAAAGAAAAAAGAAAUUCCUAUUCUUUUUUAUUUUGAUUUUUCUUUUUAUUUUCGGGUUAUAAAACCCCCAUGGAUGUACUCGAUUUUUUUGAGGGCACGAAAUCAAUACAAAAAAAGAAGGUUUUCUUUUUCUUCCGUUCUGUUUUCUUCUCCGAUGGCUUUUCUUUCUUUUUCCGUUUGUUAUUAACCUCAUAUAUAAAUAUAUAGAGAGCAAAUAAAAGAAAAAAGGAUGGAGUUAGAGGUCUUACCUGGAGACGCCCUCGGAUCCGCGCGAAAAGGAGCCGAAAAGCCCUUUAUGGUGAGACCACCGUUCACGGUGGAAUUGUGGCGGAGGAGCGGUGUAAAGAGCUAGGGCCGAAUCCCUAGCAGAGAAGCUUCAGUUUUUUUUUUAUUUCAAGAGCUGUCAAAUGUUUUUUAAGAAAAUUUGGUUUAAAUAGAAAUUCCAAAUGACGCCGUUUAAGGCCUAUGACCCGAUUACCAGACCCGCUCCAUGGGGGAUCCGCGCGCCCCUAUUAAUUGGGUUAUUUGCAACCCCGGUCCCUUCGCCUUUUAUGAUUUUGCGAUUAAACUCUUUUUUAUUUUUUUAUUUUGCCCUGAAAUUUUUGUAUUGUUUUAUUUUAGUCCUUUUCGAAACGCUGCGCAUAGAAAGACUGGGCUAUUUACUGUUUAGAUCCCUGCUUCUUUGCACGUAUUGUAAUAUAGUCCCUUAGUUUUUAACCGAAUACAAAGUUAAUCCUUUUAUUUUUAUUUAUGUUUGCUGCCUAUUUAAUUUUGUUUUACUUCAAUUUAAUUUUUGUUCCAUUAUUUUAUUUUAUUUUGUUAUAUUUUUCUUUUAACUUUGUUGCAAUUCUAAUUUAGUUUUUUAUUACUUUAAUUUUAAAUCUAAUUAGUUAUUAUUUUUGACAUAUUUAUUUUUAAAUAUAGUAUUAUUUUAGUAUUUAAUCUUAACAUUGUUUUAAAUUUCUCAUUAGUAUUGUUUUAAUAUAUAAUAUACUAUUAUUUUAAAUUACCAUUAAUAUUAUUUAAAUUUAUCAUGCAUCAUAGUUUAAAAUUUAUCAUAUACUAUAGUUUUAAACUUAUCAUAGAUUAUUAUUUAGAUGCAUUAUAUAUUCAUAUUUUUAAGUUAUCAUAUGCUAUUAUUUUAAAAUUACUAUGUAUUAUUACUUAAAGAUAUCAUAUUCUUUUUUAUGUUUUUGUAAAUUCAAUAUAAUUUGUAUAUUUUAGGGUUUUAUUUUAUACUGUAUUUUGAAAUUUACUUUUAUGUAUUUCUUUGUUUUAAAAGACCUAUAUAAUAAUAUAUUUUUUUACAAUGUUAUAUUAUAUAUACCUAUAUAAUUUCCCUUCAAAUUAUUUUUUUUUUACUUUUUAAAACUUGUUGCGUUUUUGUUGUAUAAUUUGCUUGGAGCUUAGUUUAAGAUUAGUUUUUAGUUCAUUAGCUUUCGAAUAUUAAAGUUAUUAUUUGUAUAUAAUGUGAGAUAAUUGCUCUUACGUGUAUUGUAUUGCUUGCUCGUAUCUAACGAUUCUUUGAUGUUCAUUAGCAUACAUUUUAAUUUACGAAUCACCAUUUCGCGUUGUAUGUUUUUACUUGUUCAAAAGAUUAUGUUUAAUAUCACUUAAGUAUCAAAAAUAAUUUUAUACAAAAGUCUUUCAAAAUAACGCGACACUCGGAAUUUGGGAUCCUCGAAAAGAUUGUGUCCUAACUUACUGGAUUCCAAUCUUCCUCGGGAUCUAAGAAACCGAAUAUCGUUUUUAAUUAACACACAAAUAAAAAGCUCAUUCUCGGGAAUUCGAUAUGUUGUGUCCUAACUCAUUGGAUAUGACAUAUUAUUUUCUCGAGACGAGGAUUCUUCUAACAAAUAAAAAUAAAGGCAAUAUUCGAUAUUUAGGAAUUUUGUGAAAUCAAACCCUAACUUACUGGGUUUUGAUUUUCUCAUUUGACCCCAAAUAAUCAAAUAUCCUUCUUAAAAUGCAUAGGUUUUAAAAGUCAAAAGAUAAACUUAAUUUUGAGGAUUUAAAAUGUUACACUCUAACUUACUGAGUGUGACAAUUUAUAAGUGAGUCUAAUCAUCCAAUCCAUUUUAUUCAAACUUUCUUUUCAAAGGAUUGUAUUUUAAAAUCUUUUUAAAUUUUUGACACUAAGACAUUAAACAAUCAAUUUGGUACCAAUUUUGGGCGUUACGAGGGUGUUAACCCUUCCUCGUGCGUAAUCGACUCCUGAACUUGUUUUCUCAAAUUUCGCAAACCAAAACAAUUUUUAAAUGGUGAACCGAUCACACCUCAAUAAAAGAUCAGUGGCGACUCCCAUUUAAUUUUCAAAGUCGAUUCCUAUAUUAUUUUUUUUAAAAUAAAAAAAUGGUUUCGACACUUAUGUACCAAAUUGAAUAAUUUCAACCAUAAAUAAAACAAUUAAAAUGUGGAGGUUAAACUGAUUAAAUUAUUUAAAAUUAGGAUUAAAUUGAUAGAAUAAGUAAGUAUUGAGGACUAAAUGUGUUAUUAUACUAGUUAGAAAAAAGCUUUUCGCUUUCAAUUUAACAACGGAUAACCAAAACAAAAACAAACUCAAACAUUAGUGCUAUUUUGAAAAUUCUUAAAGUUGAGCGACCAAAACAGGAACACAGACAUAAUUGCGUGACCAUUUAUAUAAUUUAUCCUAAAUUUUAAUUUUUAUGAAAUAAAUAGACCAUAAAUUUAUUUGACGGUCAAUGGUGUGAAAGAGCUGUGCACCUUCCUUUGGUUACCAAUAAAUUCUUAACUUAAUCAAAGGAUUGGUCCAAACUUAAUUUUGGUCAAAUAUUAAGAAAGAAAUGGCUGAAAAAGAGCCAUCAAAAGGUGUCCAACCCCAACACACAAAGCUCCUAAGAGUUGAUAGCUACUUCAACAUCGGAAAUCAAUUUUAGCCUUAGAUUUUGUUAGAUUUUUCUAAUAUACUUUUAACAAGUAUUUUAUAUUUAAAUUUAUAUAUUUAGAGUUAAAUGGCAUAAAUUUGAGCAUGGCUUAUAUACGAUGAUAUUAUACAUGAUAUUUGUUUAUGAUAAAAUUCGACUAUAAACACUCAAAUAUAAAAAAUUUCCAUAAAUAUAUUAAUUAGUAGAUAUUGUAUCCACUUCUAAUUAUAUUAUUUUAUUAUUUCACUUUCAAUCAUACCUUUUUGUAAAGUAGGUUAUGACUUAAAAAAAAAAGUCUACUUUUUAAACACCACAUUUAAGAAAUGAUUUUAAAAUUGGAAUUAUGCAUGUACUAGUGUUACGGGACUAGAUCUUUCAUCUCGCGAUUCAUGCAGCCUUAGGCGAUCUGUUCGUCAAAACUCGCCUAAGUCAGUCUUUACUUAAGUGAGGAUUCCUUUAAAAGUCCUCUAAGGCACUAAUUUGUAUAGUGGAAGCAAUUUAUGCCAAAAGAAGCAACAAAAAACAACAGAAAGAACACCCUCCAAGUGUUUGAGUAAAUACUCUCAAUAUUCUCUUAUUCACAAAGAAUAAUGAAACAAUGAAUGGGGUGAGUACAAAUGAGGGGGAGACUCUUUAUUUAUAGUUGAGCUCCCCCAAAACCGACGAUUAAGAUUACAAUACAUCGACAGGCGAGAUUUAUCUUUAUCCCUUAAACCAUGGGAUUUACAAGAUAUAUCUAAUCCAAUCUAAUCUAAACUUUACAAGAUAUGAUUCUAUCAAUCUUUUAAAAUUAGUUACCAAAAUAGCCUAAGUUGCCAUCUCUUCACUAUCGGGCCAACUAAGAUUUAAUUCGACAGGCUUCUCCAAUAACUUACCGAAUCAGGUUAAUUCUUGCGGGUCAAAUGAUUCCCAUCUACACAAUAGAUCUCCAUCGAAUGCAUUUGGUGCGAUGGUCACAGGUUUUGAACUGCGGCCAUGACACUAGUAAUAGUAUUAUUUUCCAUAUUUCCUCCUUUCUUCCUUUGUUAAUUUGUUGAUACCAUUAAUUUUUGACCCACAAGCCGACAUCUACUUGAAUUAUAUACCUAUAAACCUCACUUGUAACUAUCUAUAAAUAGCCCCAUACCCCUUUCCUCCAUUCUGCAUUAAACAAAUCUAAGCUUUUGCAUAAUAACAUCCCCACCGUAAACAGCCUCACUCUGAGAGUUGUUUAGAAAAAAAAUAAAGUGGUAAGAGAAAUGGCAAAAUUCCCAGUGAUCAACUUGGAGAAACUGAAUGGUGAGAGAGCAGCAACCAUGGAUCUAAUCAAAGAUGCCUGUGAGAAUUGGGGCUUCUUUGAGGUACCGAUUGCUACUUUAUAUGUAUAUAUACUCUAUUCUCCUUGGUAGAUUUUUGCUAAUUAUUAGCGUGGUUCAUUUGGUGCAGGUGUUGAACCAUGGGAUUCCCUAUGAAUUUAUGGACAGAGUGGAAAGCUUGACGAAGGAGCAUUACAAGAAAUGCAUGGAGCAAAGGUUUAAGGAACUGGUGGCAAGCAAGGCCCUUGAGGGUCUCCAGGCUGAGGUUACUGAUAUGGACUGGGAAAGUACCUUCUAUUUGCGCCAUCUCCCUGAAUCCAACAUGGCUGAAAUCCCAGAUCUAACCGAUGAACACAGGAAGGUGAUGAAAGAAUUUGCAUUGAAAUUGGAGAAACUAGCAGAGGAGCUGCUGGACCUGUUCUGUGAGAACCUUGGUCUAGAAAAAGGAUAUCUGAAAAAGGCUUUCUAUGGGGCAAAAGGUCCCACCUUUGGCACCAAAGUUAGCAACUACCCACCAUGUCCCACCCCAGACAAAAUCAAGGGACUCAGAGCCCACACGGACGCCGGUGGCAUCAUCUUGCUGUUCCAAGACCCCCAAGUGGGCGGC
RNAcentral lists this long non-coding RNA (28686 nucleotides) under Gossypium barbadense (sea-island cotton). RNAcentral describes it as "long non-coding RNA (GBAR_LNC017668)". Lineage: Eukaryota; Viridiplantae; Streptophyta; Magnoliopsida; Malvales; Malvaceae. The record is from RNAcentral.